RNAcentral lists this ribosomal RNA (399 nucleotides) under uncultured Pseudomonas sp. RNAcentral's name for it is "bacterial SSU rRNA". It matches the Rfam family "Bacterial small subunit ribosomal RNA", at positions 983 to 1382 of the family's 1533-position model. The record is from RNAcentral. Lineage: Bacteria; Pseudomonadati; Pseudomonadota; Gammaproteobacteria; Pseudomonadales; Pseudomonadaceae.
GACAUGCAGAGAACUUCCAGAGAUGGAUUGGUGCCUUCGGGAACUCUGACACAGGUGCUGCAUGGCUGUCGUCAGCUCGUGUCGUGAGAUGUUGGGUUAAGUCCGUAACGAGCGCAACCCUUGUCCUUAGUUACCAGCACGUUAUGGUGGGCACUCUAAGGAGACUGCCGGUGACAAACCGGAGGAAGGUGGGGGAUGACGUCAAGUCAUCAUGGCCCUUACGGCCUGGGCUACACACGUGCUACAAUGGUCGGUACAAAGGGUUGCCAAGCCGCGAGGUGGAGCUAAUCCCAUAAAACCGAUCGUAGUCCGGAUCGCAGUCUGCAACUCGACUGCGUGAAGUCGGAAUCGCUAGUAAUCGUGAAUCAGAAUGUCACGGUGAAUACGUUCCCGGGCCUU